CCUACGGGCGGCAGCAGUGAGGAAUAUUGGUCAAUGGCCGGGAGUCUGAACCAGCCAAGUCGCGUGAGGGAAGACGGCCCUACGGGUUGUAAACUUCUUUUGUCGGGGAGCAAAAGACGCCACGCGUGGCGUUCCGAGAGUACCCGAAGAAAAAGCAUCGGCUAACUCCGUGCCAGCAGCCGCGGUAAUACGGAGGAUGCGAGCGUUAUCCGGAUUUAUUGGGUUUAAGGGGUGCGUAGGCGGAAGAUCAAGUCAGCGGUAAAAUUGAGAGGCUCAACCUCUACGAGCCGUUGAAACUGGUUGUCUUGAGUGAGCGAGAAGUAGGCGGAAUGCGUGGUGUAGCGGUGAAAUGCAUAGAUAUCACGCAGAACACCGAUUGCGAAGGCAGCAUACCGGCGCUCAACUGACGCUGAUGCACGAAAGUGUGGGUAUCGAACAGGAUUAGAUACCCGUGUAGUC
RNAcentral lists this ribosomal RNA (459 nucleotides) under uncultured bacterium. RNAcentral's name for it is "partial 16S ribosomal RNA". It matches the Rfam family "Bacterial small subunit ribosomal RNA", at positions 338 to 795 of the family's 1533-position model. The record is from RNAcentral.